Molecule: non-coding RNA, 46 nt
Filed under: Trichobilharzia regenti
Lineage: Eukaryota; Metazoa; Platyhelminthes; Trematoda; Strigeidida; Schistosomatidae
Source: RNAcentral
AUACUACUGAAGAGUCCCAAACUAGGACGAAACAGAUGUCCAGUAC